AGAUAAUGAAGUAAUAAUUACAAUUAGUUUCGACCUAAUAUUAGGAAUAAAUUUCCCUUAUCUA
This 64-nucleotide transfer RNA is filed under the name Eysarcoris annamita. Its description in RNAcentral is "tRNA-Arg". The record is from RNAcentral. Lineage: Eukaryota; Metazoa; Arthropoda; Insecta; Hemiptera; Pentatomidae.